UGAUAUUUAUUUUAUUUAAAAAUUGACUCUUCAUGACACACUUUUGACAUGACGUGACAUGUUUUUUUUUUUUGCCCAAUGGUAUAGAGGCAGAUGAUCAGAAGUGGAUCCACUAAACAACCUAAAGAAAAUGCUUGUCUUUGAUAAAUUUGAUUAAAAUAAAUACAUAAAUAAAAUGCUUAUAUUGAGAUCUUUGAUGCUACAUCUUCGCAAAUCUGAAAUCUCUCAUGAAAUAGAGGAGCUAUGUGUGAGAUGAAAGUUACAUUUAUCAAAAAAAUGAAGAAAAAAAAGAGUGCUAUUAUGAACCUGCCCAGCAAGCAAUAGCCGUCAUUUCAACGUCUGGGUUAAAUAUAGACCAGAUAUAGUCCGGCUAUGUGUAACCCACUUUUAGCCCAAAUAACAUUUAAUCUGGAUAAAUGUAUUUUUUUUGCAAAAUAACUUGUGAGAUGUAUGAUAUUCCAUCAUGUACGCAGAGUCUAACGUGAUUACAAGUUGUUUGGUUUACUUUAUUUUACAUGUUAUAUGUGUAGGCUGUGCGUAGCCACGAUUUAGCUCGUAUUCAGACCCGGCUAUUGUAGCCCACUUUUUGUCAAAACUGAUUAAUUGUAUUUUUUUGCCAGGCAGUGCAUGAAAUGGUUAAUAUUCAAUCAUGUUCGCAUUGGUAUGAUAUCAAGGUUCAAUACGUCAUUUCACGGCAUGGUAGAUCACGAUUUAGCUCCGAAUUGGACGGGCUAUAUGCGGUCUGCUUUAGCCCACCUGGCGAAAUUAUUGCAAUCUGGGCUCAGAUAUAGACCAGCGACCUAGAAUAUUAGUCUUUGAAAUGUUUUCGCUUACACAGCUUAAUAUAUAUUUUCUGUCAAACAUUCAUACACAAUCUACGAUAAAAAUAUCUAAUCAAAUGCAAUUGCAUUUCCCAACCGCUAGAUGGCACAAUUGAAACACUACUGAGACAUGUCUACUGGAACUAAUGCCAUUGCGUGACUAGAUCACUUAAGCCAAAUCUCGCGAUAAACAUUUCCGCCAUUUUAUUUUACACGAGGCAGCUGUCGGAGUGCAACGGGUGAGCAACAGUCUGAGUGAAAACCUUCACAUUUCUACUUCGAUCUUAAGAAAGCCAUACAGGUUUGGAACCAAGUGAAAACGCAGUGAUGACCAGCUUUCCAUCAGCUAUGGAAUGUGAAAUAAAAAAUGCUAUUUCUAAUAAUUUCAAACAAGCACCAGGGAGGGCAGGGGGUGGGGGUUAUGGAUCUAAAGUAAACAGUUAAUUCUUAAAAAUUAAUUGUUUUACAUAUUUUUCCAAUGUUUUAUUUGUUCAUUUUUAUGUUUGAAUGUUGUCCAAGUUGUUGUUGUCUAUAUAAUUGUUCAAAAUAAAUCCCUUUAU
This is a long non-coding RNA of Carassius auratus (goldfish), 1381 nucleotides long. RefSeq lists it as uncharacterized. The record is from RefSeq and is a predicted model, not a curated record. The transcript is spliced from 3 exons. NCBI's taxonomy places the organism in Eukaryota, Metazoa, Chordata, Actinopteri, Cypriniformes, Cyprinidae.